This 858-nucleotide non-coding RNA is filed under the name Epitonium scalare. Lineage: Eukaryota; Metazoa; Mollusca; Gastropoda; Epitoniidae. The record is from RNAcentral.
GAAAGUACUUGGCUUUGAUUCAGUUCUAUGGCUGAGAUAAGAUAAAAUACAUGAUAUUUUUAGAGGGUGGUGAGUUAUAAUUUUUGAAUGAUUUCUAUAAAAAAUAAAAAAUAUUUAAAGUUAUGAAGUAUUAUAAGUUUUAUGAUGCUUAAAAUAAUUUCACUAACAUCAGUAAUGGAUUUUGUAAAAAAACGAAAGUUUGUUUCAGAUUAGUUUUUAGGCCUGGUAAAUUUAGUGCCAGCAUCCGCGGUUAGACUAAAGGGUCAAGUUAUAGUUGUAAGGCAUAAAAGGUGGUUAGAUGAAGUAUUAGAUAUAUAAUAAAGAUAGUAAGGUAAAAUUUAUUUAUUUUUAGAUUAUUAAUUAUUCUUUUGGUUGAAUCCACGUAAAUCUUAUAAGAAACCAGGAUUAGAUACCCUGUUAUUCUUGAUUGUAAAUUGAUUAAUUCUGCCAGAGUAGUAUAAGAUUUUCUUUAAACUCAAAAGGCUUGGCGGUGCUCUAGACUGCUUAGGGGAACCUGUCUCGUAAUCGAUGAUCCACGUUAAACCUAACUUUAUUUUGUGUUCAAUAUGUAUACCGUUGUCGUCAGUCAAUUUUUAAAAAUUUGGCAGAAGAAUUUUUAGAUUUAUACGUCAAAUCAAGGUGCAGUCUAUAAUAAAGUGAGGAUGGGUUACAAUUAAAAUUUAUAAUACGGAUGAUUUUUAUGAAAGUAGGGUUUUAAGGAGGACUUAAAAGUAAAGUUGUAGUAGAAAAAUAAUUUGAAUUUGCUCUGGAGUGUGCACAUAUCGCCCGUCGCUCUCGCUGAUAAAGUGAGAUAAGUCGUAACAUAGUAGAGGUAAUGGAAAUUGUCUCUAGUACAAU